RNAcentral lists this ribosomal RNA (328 nucleotides) under uncultured eukaryote. RNAcentral describes it as "partial 18S ribosomal RNA". It matches the Rfam family "Eukaryotic small subunit ribosomal RNA", at positions 1470 to 1796 of the family's 1831-position model. The record is from RNAcentral.
CCCUUAGAUGUCCGGGGCUGCACGCGCGCUGCACUGAAGGAAUCAGCGUGCUAAAACCAUUGUCGAAAGGCAUUGGUAAACCCAUUAAAAUCCUACGUGAUUGGGAUCGGGAAUUGCAAUUAUUUCCCUUGAACGAGGAAUUCCCAGUAAGUGUGGGUCAUAAGCUCGCGUUGAUUACGUCCCUGCCCUUUGUACACACCGCCCGUCGCUGCCCGGGACUGAGCCGUUUCGAGAAAAGCGGGGACUGCUGCUGUCGGGGCUUUCGGGCCUUGGCUUCGGUGGAAACCGCUUUAAUCGCAGUGGCUUGAACCGGGCAAAANUCGUANCA